This 308-nucleotide long non-coding RNA is filed under the name Physcomitrium patens. RNAcentral's name for it is "long non-coding RNA (PPAT_LNC000902)". Lineage: Eukaryota; Viridiplantae; Streptophyta; Bryopsida; Funariales; Funariaceae. The record is from RNAcentral.
UCUCUUUCAAUAACAAUAUUCCUUCAUCAACUAAUAACCACAAUGUACAAUCCUAUAUUCUUAAAAUACCGUUCAAAACACAAUAAUCUCCAUCCAACACUAGGAAUAACAGACUUCAUUCCAACAAUCUGAAUUCACAUAAUUUCUGUAAUCACCAACUUUUUUUGUCUAAAACACACACAACUCUCAAUAAACAACAAUCAUAAUCUUUCAAUAACUCCUCAUAUAAUUCAAUCACUUAGUACUCCAAUUACAUAAUCAAUAACUCAUAAAUCAAUCUUUGAUUUAUUCCACAGACUCACUUCUCA